RNAcentral lists this long non-coding RNA (924 nucleotides) under Malus domestica (apple). RNAcentral's name for it is "long non-coding RNA (MDOM_LNC008813)". Lineage: Eukaryota; Viridiplantae; Streptophyta; Magnoliopsida; Rosales; Rosaceae. The record is from RNAcentral.
CGCCGUUAGGUUUUUUGACGUCCUAAAUCCAUUUAUGGCCUCCAUGUUCCGAAAGUUAACUGUUAUGAUAGAGUUUUAUUAAUUGGUCCCUUUAUGUGCUUAGGUGCAAUUGUUUAUGGCAUUUUCGUCUUCGCUAGUUUGCAUGGCUCUUCGACAGAGAAAUAUCUGUGAGUGGAACCUUCCAAAAUGCAUGAUUUUACUAUCGAAAAACCUAUUACAUAUUACAAUAUUGAGUUUUCCUAAACCCUUUUCAUAAAUUUUGGGGGUUAGUACGUUGUUGAAUAACUGUUUUUGUACUGCUUAUAUAUCAACUUGGUCCACUCAUGUUUUGUUUUGCACCCCCUCAAGACUUAAAAUUGAGGCGUACAAUCCCGGCAUCAAGGCAUUCUCGCAUCGGCAUCUUCGAGUCUUCUUGGUGUAGGACCUAUCCCUUUUGUUCAUUAAAUUUUAUAUUAUUACUUUUAGUGUCUCGGAUUAGUUGUAUACUCUGAACACGUUCCUUAAUUGCAUAUUCAUUAUAGUUAAAUUUAUAAGUUUUAUUUAUAUUCGCAUUUCUUCAUUGUUCUCAUGCAUCUUAUUAUAGCUUCGUCACCUUCAGGUGUCAGCCAACACAUGUCUACCCUGAUCUUUGGAGGAUUUCAGGUUCGGGCGUGUCAUGUUGAUUCAUAAAUCAUAAAUCCCAUGAUCUUUGGCUUAUCAGUGCAACCUCGAGCGGCUCUACCCGUUGAGCAUCAUGCAUCUCAUAGCAAACCCGUGCCUAAGCUGACCAUUGAGGUAUCUACCUAUCCAAAAGCUAUUUCUUUGCAAGUUACAUACCUCAUAAUGACAUUUAGUAAAAAACGAGGAUGCUCACUCAACUUCUUGCUCAUCUCAAUCUCGUAAGAGAUCUUGAUCUUGGCUCGCCAAACCAAAUAGAGUUUGAAU